Long non-coding RNA from Venturia canescens, 301 nucleotides. RefSeq lists it as uncharacterized. The transcript has 3 exons. The record is from RefSeq and is a predicted model, not a curated record. NCBI's taxonomy places the organism in Eukaryota, Metazoa, Arthropoda, Insecta, Hymenoptera, Ichneumonidae.
CUUGUACUGAAAAAAUAUCGACGGGCGUGCAGUACUUUGCGCAUUUGUUUAGCGUGAGUGCCUACUUUGAUCGAGCUAAAUAUUCGCAGACACAACAUUAUUCGUGGGUACGUUUUUUAUGCAGUGAAUCGAGAGAUCGGAGGAAUGGUUUUCGAGGAGCGUAAGAACGUUUCGUAAGGAUCUCCGGACUGUACAUAAAUUUUGGGAAAGAGGAAGCGAUUUGCGAUUGACAAAUCGUGUGGGGAAGGGACGCCGAUGACGCGUAAGUGAAUCGUAAGAGCAGUGGACAACCGGAGCAAUA